Betaproteobacteria bacterium is the source of this 63-nucleotide non-coding RNA. Lineage: Bacteria; Pseudomonadati; Pseudomonadota; Betaproteobacteria. The record is from Rfam.
UCUCUUUUCCACCCUCCUCCUUUGGUGGAUUCGGCGCAUCCCGCAAGGGAUGCGCCAUUUUCU